Molecule: ribosomal RNA, 432 nt
Filed under: uncultured bacterium
Lineage: Bacteria
Description: partial 16S ribosomal RNA
Rfam family: Bacterial small subunit ribosomal RNA
Source: RNAcentral
AACGAACGCUGGCGGCAUGCCUAACACAUGCAAGUCGAACGAGACCUUCGGGUCUAGUGGCGCACGGGUGCGUAACGCGUGGGAACCUGCCCUUAGGUUCGGAAUAACUCCCCGAAAGGGGUGCUAAUACCGGAUAAUGUCUUCGGACCAAAGAUUUAUCGCCUUUGGAUGGGCCCGCGUUGGAUUAGCUAGUUGGUAGGGUAAAAGCCUACCAAGGCGACGAUCCAUAGCUGGUCUGAGAGGAUGAUCAGCCACACUGGGACUGAGACACGGCCCAGACUCCUACGGGAGGCAGCAGUGGGGAAUAUUGGACAAUGGGCGAAAGCCUGAUCCAGCAAUGCCGCGUGAGUGAUGAGGCCUUAGGGUUGUAAAGCUCUUUUACCCGGGAUGAUAAUGACAGUACCGGGAGAAUAAGCUCCGGCUAACUCCGUG